AACCUAGCACACCUGCGGUGUGUACCUGCGGAGGGAUCAUUACCGAGUUUACAACUCCCAAACCCAUGUGAACAUACCUAUCGUUGCUUCGGCGGAUCGCCCCGGGCGCCUUGCGUGCCCCGGAUCCAGGCGGCCGCCGGGGGACCUUAACUCUUGUUUUUACUGAGAAUCUUCUGAGUCGUUUUUACAAAUAAAUAAAAACUUUCAACAACGGAUCU
Molecule: unclassified non-coding RNA, 218 nt
Filed under: soil metagenome
Description: partial contains 5.8S ribosomal RNA, internal transcribed spacer 2, and large subunit ribosomal RNA
Source: RNAcentral